This is an RNA transcript of Girardinichthys multiradiatus, 5791 nucleotides long. It is a transcript of the gene named solute carrier family 4 member 2b, with no coding region annotated. The record is from RefSeq and is a predicted model, not a curated record. NCBI's taxonomy places the organism in Eukaryota, Metazoa, Chordata, Actinopteri, Cyprinodontiformes, Goodeidae. The transcript is spliced from 22 exons.
CUGAGAGAGCGCUCCCUGUUUGACGAGAAGCUGGACGGCCAGUCAAGAAGCUCUACAUUAAUUACGGAAAUUUUUUUAGUCCCUCUAUUUUCUGUUUUUUUUUUUUGUUUUUUUUUCUCUCCCCUCUUUCUUUGCUUUUCCCCCCCUUUUAUUUGUUGUCAUCCUGCACUCUGACCAGCUCUUUUCACAGCAGAGUUCAGAAUACACUAGAAUGUAUGCGGUGGCUUCUAUGCAGUAAGCACACUGAGGUUAUGCUGCCCAAAAGCUGUCUGAGUCCCAGUGAGAAAGAGAAGGGCUAAAGCCGCACCAGUCCAAACCAGCUUCCCAGAGCCUGACUAACAGCAACUUUCCCUGCAGAGCCAUGAGCAGCCAAAGCGCACCCAGCCAGGUUACAGACGCUGUUGCAUCAGUUAUUCACAGUCCAGAGGCUUCUGCAGCCUCUUCGCUUUACGGUCACCAGCACCGAGAGGAGGAGGAUGAGGGCGACCUGAACAAAGCUCUGGGGGUUCAGCGUUUUCAGCAUAUUCUUCGCCCUGCUGCCUCUGUACCCGACGAGCUGCUUUACUCCUACCAUGAGGAGGACAUUGAAUACCACCGUCACUACUCUCGUCACAUCCACCGGCCUCUGUCCAAACUUCCGACUGAGGGGAGAAGAAAAAAAGGCAGCAAGAAAAGGAAAAAGAGCAAGGAUCAUAAAGGCAGCCGUGCGCCCUCUAGUGGUCCUAUAGAGGAGGGGGAAGAUGAGGAAGAGGAAGAAGAAGAGGAGGAGAGCAUAGAGGCAAAUUCUGCUCAAUCAGAGUCAGAGAAACCAAGAGAUGUGGAGUUUUUCUUGUCGGAUGAAGACCAAGUUUCCAGAUGGAGCAACUCGACCCGAGAGCUGAACAUCGUCCCUCAGUCUGCUGCGAGAGCAGAAGCCGAAGAUGUAUCUACCACUGACUCUCCGAGCCCCACUUCCCACUCGGCUUCACCUGAAAACCCGCCUCUGACUCGGGUCUCCUCCGCCAGCCGCAGCUACGACCUGCAGGAGCGCCGCCGAACAGGCAACAUGACUGGUGCGGAGCAAGCCAAGUACCAGCGCAUCCCCACGGACGAGAGCGAAGCCAUGACGCUGGCCUCCGCUGACCUGGAUGGGAUCAAAAGUCAUCGAUUCGAAGAUGUUCCCGGCGUGCGAAGACACCUCGUCAGAAAGAGCACCAAGGGGCAGAUGGUGCACAUUGGCAAAGACCACAAAGAGCCGACGACUCGCAGCAGAAAGCAGGACCGCACCCCACACGAGGUGUUUGUGGAGCUGAACGAGCUGACUAUGGACAAGAACCAGGAGAUGCAGUGGAAGGAGACGGCUCGAUGGAUCAAGUUUGAGGAGGAUGUGGAGGAGGAGACGGACCGCUGGGGGAAGCCUCACGUUGCUUCUCUGUCUUUUCGCAGCUUACUGGAGCUCAGACGGACCAUCUCCCACGGUGCGGUUCUGCUGGACCUGGACCAGAAGACCCUACCGGGCAUCUCCCACCAGGUGGUGGAGCAGAUGAUCAUUUCUGAUCAGAUCAAAGCGGAGGACCGAUCCAACGUCCUGAGAGCUCUGCUGCUUAAACACAGUCACCCGAGCGAUGAAAAGGAGCACGUUAGCCAUUUCCCCAGAAACAUCUCAGCAGCCAGCCUCGGCAGCCUUUUAGCACACCACCACACUGCUAACCACAACCACCAGCUGGAGCCGUCUGUGACCGACCCCCUCAUGGGCGCCGUCAUCUCCGGGCUGGACGGCGAAACUCGGAUCGACAUGGACAGGAAUGAGCUACAGAAGGAACCGACUCUGGGACCUGGAAUGCAUCGAUCCAAGUCCAAACAUGAGCUGAAGUUGCUGGAGAAGAUUCCAGAAAAUGCUGAGGCCACCGUGGUUCUUGUCGGUUGUGUCGACUUCCUGGAACAGCCUACAAUGGCAUUUGUGAGGCUCCAGGAGGCAGUGGAGCUCGAGUCCGUUCUGGAAGUACCUGUGCCUGUCAGGUUCCUCUUUGUUCUGCUUGGACCACCAACCACCAGCAUGGACUACCAUCAGAUUGGACGAUCAAUCUCCACCCUCAUGUCUGACAAGCAAUUUCAUGAGGCUGCUUACCUGGCAGACGACAGGCAGGACCUGCUGAAUGCCAUCAACAGCUUCUUGGACUGCAGUAUUGUUCUGCCACCGUCAGAGAUGGGAGAUGACGAGCUCCUGCGCUCUGUUGCGCGCUUUCAGAGAGAGAUGCUCCGUAAGAGGGAAGAACAGGAACAAGUGAAACUGUUGGGUAAUGAGCCUAAAAGCCUUGAAGAGAAAAAAGCUCUCCUCAAACCUUCACAAAAGUCAGACGACCCCUUGGAGCGCACGGGCCGCCCCUUUGGAGGGCUUAUAAGAGACAUUCAACGUCGAUACCCAAAGUACCUCAGCGACUUCAAGGACGCCCUGGACAGCCAGUGCAUGGCUGCCGUUAUCUUCAUCUACUUCGCGGCUCUCUCUCCAGCAAUCACAUUUGGAGGUCUGCUAGGUGAGAAGACAGACGGGCUGAUUGGGGUUUCUGAGCUGAUUGUCUCGACAGCCGUUCAUGGUGUCCUGUUCUGCUUACUCGGAGCCCAGCCGCUGCUGAUCGUGGGCUUUUCUGGCCCUAUUCUGGUCUUCGAGGAAGCCUUUUUUAGUUUCUGCAAAGCAAACGACAUGGAGUACCUGACGGGCCGCGUCUGGAUCGGCUUUUGGCUCGUCGUCAUUGUGAUCAUUAUGGUGGCCUUCGAAGGCAGCUUUCUGGUGCGCUUCGUCUCCCGCUUCACCCAGGAGAUCUUCUCCUUCCUCAUCUCCCUCAUCUUCAUCUGCGAGACCUUCAUCAAGCUGGGCAGGAUAUUUAAGGAGCACCCGCUGAAACGCUGCUCCAUAAACGGCACUACAGAAGGAGACGUGUCUCCAGAAAACAUCAUGGUGAUCCAGAACAACAGCACCCAGAUGGUCACGGUCACCGGGGAGCCCAACACCGCGCUGCUCUCUCUGGUCCUGAUGGCCGGAACGUUUUUCAUCGCUUUUUACCUGCGCAAGUUCAAGAACAGCGCCCUUUUCCCCGGGAGGUUUCGCAGGAUGAUCGGAGACUUCGGAGUUCCUAUUGCAAUCCUCGUCAUGGUUCUGGUGGACUACAGCAUAGAAGACACAUACACACAGAAACUGAGCGUCCCCAGCGGCUUUUCUGUGACGAGUCCCGACAAACGAGGCUGGAUCAUCAACCCUCUGGGCUCAGACGGUGAAUUUCCCAUCUGGAUGAUGUUCGCCUGCUGUUUGCCCGCUCUGCUGGUGUUCAUCCUCAUCUUCAUGGAGACUCAGAUCACCACGCUCAUUGUCAGCAAGAAGGAGCGGAUGCUGGUGAAGGGUUCUGGUUUCCACCUGGACCUCCUGUUGAUCGUGGUUCUCGGCGGCACCUCAGCUCUGUUCGGCCUCCCGUGGAUGCCCGCCGCCACCGUUCGCUCUGUGACCCACGUCAACGCCCUCACGGUCAUGAGCAAAGCCGUCGCCCCCGGAGACAAGCCUCGCAUCCAGGAGGUGAAGGAGCAGAGGGUUACUGGGCUCCUGGUUGCUGUUAUGGUUGGUAUGUCCAUCGUGAUCGGCGACCUGCUGCGUCAGAUCCCCCUCGCCGUCUUGUUCGGCAUCUUCCUCUACAUGGGGGUGAUGUCGCUCAACGGCAUCCAGCUGUCCGAGCGGAUGAUGCUGCUCCUCAUGCCACCCAAGUACCACCCCGACCACACCUACGUCCGCAAGGUAAGAGAAGUGAAGCAAGGAAUACGUGCUUGCAAGGUGACAUGAGUAAAUUAGUGUGUAAUGGAUGGAUUUGUGCCCCUCAGGUUCGUACGUGGCGCAUGCAUCUGUUCACCUGCAUCCAGAUGGUGUGUUUGGUCGUCCUCUGGUCUGUUAUGUCCACCCAGGCGUCUCUGGCUUUCCCCUUCGUCCUCAUCCUCACCGUCCCCAUCAAGAUGUUCGUGCUGCGUCGCAUCUUCAAUGAAAGGGAGAUGGAAUGUUUGGACGGUGAUGAUGCACAGCCAAAGUUUGACGAGCACGAUGAGUACUCUGAGAUGCACAUGCCUGUGUAGCUACGCUGCCAGGCCUCAUAUCACCACUGAGCUGAAAUCCACUCAACACCCGACACCCGUUAGGACCAGCAAGCUCCGGGUCAGAAACUAGAAAGUGAAGUUCCCUGGAGGGUCUGGUCAAAACUAUCUCCGCUCUGCUGGAUAGCGGCAGGUUUCUGUGGCUCUUCAUGACAUUUCUUUUAUUUAAACAGUUUUUUUCAAGGGACAAAAGAUUUUAAAUAAAACAAAGUGAUUACACACUAACAAUUAAUAUAUAGCAGUAGAUGUAUGUGCAAAUCAGAUUACUUUUUAGCCUGGAAAGGUUGCUAUGAUUCACAUUGAAUAUGUGGAAGAUAUCUAGGAUACAUUCCUUAAUAUUAACAUGGUGUUAGUGCUAGUCAUGUUUUUUUUUUCUUCGUUUUAAACCAACUAAGCGCCUUAUGAAGGAAACCUGAUAUACUGAGCUGUUUUUUUUCUCCUCAUUCUGUCUUAUUUUAGACAGUCAAUCACUUUAAACACAAAGCUUGUAGCACUUUUUAUAAGAAACCAAAUCUGAACUGUAUUGUAUUUAAUUAUUUUAGCUGCUUAGUGUUCUUAUAAACCUCCUAAAUCAUGAUGUCGCCUUAGUUGAGAGGUUAUUAGCCUGCUCUUUUAUCAUUUCAGUUGUUUUUAAUGCAGAUGCUGCAGUUUAAAUCAUGUUCACUGACUGCAGUGAUGCAAGAUCACCAGCAGAGGGAGAUCUUGGAUUACCAUUGUGUUUCACCAAAUUGAAAUUGUUUUAUCACAUCUAUGCCAUGAACUCAUGUUUCUCAUCAUGCAGAGUUACCUUUUUUUAUUUAAAGAAUUGACACGGUAGUAUCAUAAAUACACUUGAGUUGUCUCCAUGCACGUGUGCAGGGCAUUAAUGUUCUAAUAUUCACUGGGUGAAGUUGGUUUGUGGGAAAUGCUGUAAAUUUAUUACUACUUGUCCAAGUGCCAAAUAAUCUACUGUGUGUGAUGCAAUCAGAAUAAUAAGCUGCAGCAGUGUGGUCAUCUCUGUUUUCCUGAUUUUACCGUUUUCUCACAUUUCCACUCUAAAACAUUCCACCUUUUAACUUUGUAUUUUUAUCUAAUGGUUUAAACAUUUCAGUUAUGACCACAUUUUUGGAAUAGUUUGCAUGAUGUUGCGUCAGUGUAACAUGGAUCGGGUGAAGCUUUGACUGUGUCAAAUACUUUAAAACUUUCUCACUUCUGUGAUAGCCACAUAUGAAUGUCAAACCCUACUUGUCCCCUCUGAAUCGUCCCGCCCCAGCCUGACUGAGACGGUGACUUUUUGGAGUCAAAGGUCGCACAAAGUCUCAAGUGCCUGUGGAAGGGAGGGGGGUGUGAUCAAGGAGUGUCUUGUGUGUCUAAGAUGGCACACGUUAGUGUUCAGCACUUUUCAAUCAGACAUCUCUGAAUUAUGCAUCUGUUGCAUCACUGCUGUUUCUUUAAAGAAUACUACAGAAGGUGUUUUUAAAGUACACAAACACUCAGCUGUGCUUUAUUCGCAACAAAGAUCUGUUAGAAGUGGCAGUCUGUGUUGUUUCUGAUCAGUGUGCCUGUGUAGGUUCAGAUUCUGUGAUCAAGUUGUUAAGAAAUGUGUAGAUUUGUUUUUAUUGCAAUAUGAAGUCGACGAGACUGUUGCUGAUAACUUAUGCAUCGGUGGUUCAGAUAUUGAUGACAAAUAAAAGGUAUUUUCUAA